RNAcentral lists this ribosomal RNA (550 nucleotides) under uncultured bacterium. Its description in RNAcentral is "bacterial SSU rRNA". It matches the Rfam family "Bacterial small subunit ribosomal RNA", at positions 355 to 896 of the family's 1533-position model. The record is from RNAcentral.
UAGGGAAUCUUCCGCAAUGGGCGAAAGCCUGACGGAGCAACGCCGCGUGAGUGAUGAAGGUCUUCGGAUCGUAAAACUCUGUUAUUAGGGAAGAACAAAUGUGUAAGUAACUAUGCACGUCUUGACGGUACCUAAUCAGAAAGCCACGGCUAACUACGUGCCAGCAGCCGCGGUAAUACGUAGGUGGCAAGCGUUAUCCGGAAUUAUUGGGCGUAAAGCGCGCGUAGGCGGUUUUUUAAGUCUGAUGUGAAAGCCCACGGCUCAACCGUGGAGGGUCAUUGGAAACUGGAAAACUUGAGUGCAGAAGAGGAAAGUGGAAUUCCAUGUGUAGCGGUGAAAUGCGCAGAGAUAUGGAGGAACACCAGUGGCGAAGGCGACUUUCUGGUCUGUAACUGACGCUGAUGUGCGAAAGCGUGGGGAUCAAACAGGAUUAGAUACCCUGGUAGUCCACGCCGUAGACGAUGAGUGCUAAGUGUUAGGGGGUUUCCGCCCCUUAGUGCUGCAGCUAACGCAUUAAGCACUCCGCCUGGGGAGUACGACCGCAAGGUUG